RNAcentral lists this ribosomal RNA (575 nucleotides) under Streptomyces sporangiiformans. RNAcentral describes it as "Bacterial large subunit ribosomal RNA". It matches the Rfam family "Bacterial large subunit ribosomal RNA", at positions 1275 to 1753 of the family's 2925-position model. Lineage: Bacteria; Bacillati; Actinomycetota; Actinomycetes; Kitasatosporales; Streptomycetaceae. The record is from Rfam by way of RNAcentral.
GGAUGGUUCACGAGUGAGAAUGCAGGCAUGAGUAGCGAUUCACACGUGGGAAACGUGUGCGCCGAUUGACUAAGGGUUCCUGGGUCAAGCUGAUCUGCCCAGGGUAAGUCGGGACCUAAGGCGAGGCCGACAGGCGUAGUCGAUGGAUAACCGGUUGAUAUUCCGGUACCCGCUGUGAAGCGUCAAACAUCGAGCCCGUUAAUGCUAAGGCCGUGAAGCCGCCCUGAUCUCUUCGGAGUUGAGGGGAGUGGUGGAGCCGUCGACCCAAGACGGUAGUAGGUGAGUGAUGGGGUGACGCAGGAAGGUAGUCCAGCCCGGGCGGUGGUUGUCCCGGGGUAAGGGUGUAGGCCGUGCGGUAGGUAAAUCCGUCGCACAUGUGGCUGAGACCUGAUGCCGAGCCGAUUGUGGUGAAGUGGAUGAUCCUAUGCUGUCGAGAAAAGCCUCUAGCGAGUUUCAUGGCGGCCCGUACCCUAAACCGACUCAGGUGGUCAGGUAGAGAAUACCGAGGCGUUCGGGUGAACUAUGGUUAAGGAACUCGGCAAAAUGCCCCCGUAACUUCGGGAGAAGGGGGGCCA